Molecule: ribosomal RNA, 425 nt
Filed under: uncultured bacterium
Lineage: Bacteria
Description: partial 16S ribosomal RNA
Rfam family: Bacterial small subunit ribosomal RNA
Source: RNAcentral
GUUAGGAAUAUUGGACAAUGGGCGCAAGCCUGAUCCAGCCAUGCCGCGUGAGUGAUGAAGGCCUUCGGGUUGUAAAGCUCUUUAGUCCACGAAUAUAAUGACUGUAGUGGAAGAAUAAGCCCCGGCUAACUUCGUGCCAGCAGCCGCGGUAAUACGAAGGGGGCGAGCGUUAUUCGGAAUCACUGGGCGUAAAGCGUGCGUAGGCUGUUUUGUAAGUCAGAAGUGAAAGCCCAGGGCUUAACCCUGGAAUUGCUUUUGAAACUACAAGACUCGAAUUCGGGAGAGGAUAGCGGAAUUGUCAGUGUAGCAGUGAAAUGCGUAGAUAUUGACAGGAACACCAGUGGCGCAAGCGGCUAUCUGGACCGAUAUUGACGCUGAGGCACGAAAGCGUGGGGAUCGAACAGGAUUAGAAACCCGAGUAGUCC